Molecule: ribosomal RNA, 506 nt
Filed under: uncultured bacterium
Lineage: Bacteria
Description: partial 16S ribosomal RNA
Rfam family: Bacterial small subunit ribosomal RNA
Source: RNAcentral
AGUGAACGCUGGCGGUAGGCCUAACACAUGCAAGUCGAACGGCAGCACAAGAGAGCUUGCUCUCUGGGUGGCGAGUGGCGGACGGGUGAGGAAUACAUCGGAAUCUACUCUGUCGUGGGGGAUAACGUAGGGAAACUUACGCUAAUACCGCAUACGACCUACGGGUGAAAGCAGGGGACCUUCGGGCCUUGCGCGAUUGAAUGAGCCGAUGUCGGAUUAGCUAGUUGGCGGGGUAAAGGCCCACCAAGGCGACGAUCCGUAGCUGGUCUGAAAGGAUGCACAGCCACACUGGAACUGAGACACGGUCCCGACUCCUACGGGAGGCAGCAGUGGGGAAUAUUGGACAAUGGGCGCAAGCCUGAUCCAGCCAUACCGCGUGGGUGAAGAAGGCCUUCGGGUUGUAAAGCCCUUUUGUUGGGAAAGAAAUCCAGCUGGCUAAUACCCGGUUGGGAUGACGGUACCCAAAGAAUAAGCACCGGCUAACUUCGUGCCAGCAGCCGCCGUAA